Long non-coding RNA from Lathyrus oleraceus (garden pea), 2076 nucleotides. RefSeq lists it as uncharacterized. NCBI's taxonomy places the organism in Eukaryota, Viridiplantae, Streptophyta, Magnoliopsida, Fabales, Fabaceae. The transcript has 2 exons. The record is from RefSeq and is a predicted model, not a curated record.
AAAUCCUGAUAGUUUCUAAUUUGCAGACACCAUGAAAGACUAAAAAUGGGCCUUGGAGUGGAUAAGGGGUGUAGGAAACGGAACCAAGGUGCGAAUAGGAAGCAUUAAGGGCCAAACGAGGCCCAAAUUGGCUUCAAGGGGUGUCUUCCCGAGAGAGGUGCAGAAAGGAAUUGGUUCAGGUCUUAGGCCCAAACCGUUAGGACUCGAAGCGACAGAUGUCAAUCUCUACAGCAACGGUCACGUGAGAUUCUACACUGCGGUGGUACACUCCUCGAGCUUCUCUUCCAUCAUCAACCGCGUCUAAUCACACCUUGUUCAGUCGUGGAUGAAUCACCGGAAUGUCUUCUUUGAGGGAAUCCGGCACGGCGGUGUAUCCCUCAUCUUUUAGCUUCGCAUUCAUCAAUUUCAUUUCGUCACUCUGCGGCCACUAUUCGUGGAUUCACGUCGUUCUUCACUCAGUCAGUGCUCGCCGAUGCGCAUCUCGAUUUGGUUCUUUCUCCUCUCAACAACUUCUACUGCUAACGUAAUGGCGUCGAUGCAGAUUCGAAACUAUUUGCAUAAUGAAAUAGGAAAAAUGAAGACUUAUCGGUUUCACCGCGGUGUUAACAACAGGUUUGGUUUAGCUUCCGUCCCUGAUGUUUGCAGCUUCCGCUCUGCCAGUUGGUUUUUUAGAAGGGACAGAAUUAACCGACAUACGCGUCCUCUCCACUGCAUUCAUAACUUCACUCUGUUUACUACCAGACUAAAUCUGUAAGAGAGCAGUUGCGUCACAGUGAAGUCCAUUGUUGUUAUCUCGGUAUCAAAGGAUUGUGGCAGGUGAUGCAAAGCCAUUCCUUGUGAGGUUUCGUUUAGUGCUCGUGAUGAUUGCAGGCAUCAGUGUUGUGAAUUAAGUCCGCAAAUUCGGGGCAUUGCUGGGCUGCAGCAGGAUUUCAUGGCUUGAUGCAAUCAGAGCAAGGAAAAUUCUGAAGCCAUGGUUCGUGUAUGCAAAUUAUCAGGAUGAGAAUCCAAAACCAAACUAUAUCUCAAUGGUCUGAUAGUUAUGAAAACAAUAUCCUCUUUCAAAAACCUCCCAAUUUCUAGAACAACAACCUUGCCUUCCUUAAAAUCACCGUCCUGAAACACUCUCUUACACUCAUCAACCAAUACUUUAAGCUAAUUAACCAACUGCUGCAGCAUUUCCCUCUGGUUCAAAAGUAGAAAGACAGUCAAAAACCUAACUAAGAAUCUCAAUUGUUUAUUCAUGACACGAUUUCUCUGAUUUCCCCUUACUUUAACCCAGCUUCAAUUGGCUUCUGACGAUUCUCUUAUGUGUAUACUUUUGAAAACCUUAGAGAUAUAUGUAUCAGGCCUGCGGCAUUGGCAUUAAGGUAAAUCUCUGAUUUUGGAGAAACUUUAUUGUCGGCUUUGUCAACGGGAGUCCAGAAAAUCUCGCUUACAGGGACGCUGCUGUUGAGAUGUUAUCGCGGUCUGCUGCAACAAAGUCACAGCGUGUUGCAGGUUUUGGUAUCUGUUUGUCGUCACCGGCGGUAUGCAUCUUUUGGAGUAUUCCCUUUUUCCUUCAAGUUGUUGCACUGCCAUUUAUGUGUUUCACUUUGCAGCAGGUCUACAUUUGUAUGUCACUUUGCGGUUACAUUUUGAUUGCGGUUUCAGUCGUUUGGCUGGCUUGUGUUUGGUGCCGGCGUUGCCGUUUGUAACUGAUGUGUUUUAUUGCUAUUGCAAGUCAAGAACCAAAGUGGGUUCCAGCUGAUUUCCUUGAGACAAUGUAUUUUCAACAUCUUCUACAAGAUUACCUAUUUUACAUACAGUAGCAUUACCUUUGUUCAGGGAAUUUUCCUCGUUAGGGUGCAGCGCUGUUAUCCACUAUAGGCUUCACAUCAAGCUUCUGAAGAUCAUGCACUUUACCUGUGCUUUCAUGAUACCGAGCAAUGGACAGUGAAGACCCGCAUGCAUUGAGUGUUUUUUUCAUUCUAUUUUGAUUCAACAAGUAUUGUGAUCUUAUGCAAAUGUAAAAUGUAAACCGAUGCAAUUCUCUAUGUAAUGAGAUGACAUGGCUUAUAUGUUAAUGCCUUUACCUCA